UUGACAGCCUUGGAAAGUAAGGUCUCCUAGCCAGAGAACAGGUACAGCACAAUCGGUAGAAAUGCACGCACACACAUACACAGACCACACACAGAGCGCCUCAGCUCUGACCUGGGGGAAAUCACCUCUAUGGACAGUAGGGUAGUUCAGUCUCCAGGGCCCAUUCAAAACCUUACCUGCU
This 181-nucleotide small RNA is filed under the name Chrysemys picta bellii (western painted turtle). RNAcentral's name for it is "TUC338 (ENSCPBG00000004826.1)". Lineage: Eukaryota; Metazoa; Chordata; Testudines; Emydidae. The record is from RNAcentral.